This is a non-coding RNA of Cordylochernes scorpioides, 76 nucleotides long. Lineage: Eukaryota; Metazoa; Arthropoda; Arachnida; Pseudoscorpiones; Chernetidae. The record is from the annotation of a GenBank genome assembly.
AGUGUCCAGGGAUGGGAAUCGAACCCACAAUGUUCCGCUUACCGGGCAGAUGCCAUGUCCACUAGAGUACUGUAAC